Molecule: non-coding RNA, 148 nt
Filed under: Homo sapiens (human)
Lineage: Eukaryota; Metazoa; Chordata; Mammalia; Primates; Hominidae
Source: Rfam by way of RNAcentral
GCUGGGUGUGGUGGUGCACACCUGUAGUCCCAGCUAUUUGGGAGGCUGAGGCAGAAGAAUCGCUUGAACUCGGGAGGUGGAGGUUGCAGUGAGCUGAGAUUGCAUCACUCCACUUCAGCCUGGGUGACAAAGCGAGACUCUGUCUCAA